UAGAACAGAUAAAGAAGGAAGGGUGGGGUACAAGAUUGUGGUUUGCAUUUGCAAUUCUGUUCCUCCACUGGUUCUUAAGGGAGCUGAGCAAGAAUAAUUUUUAUGUUCUUCACAUUUUUGAGGAAUGCAUUAUUUAAGCAGAUGGAGAAACUGAGGCACCAAGUGGUUAAUUGUUUUUCCCAACCUUCCACAUCUAUGAAACAUCAAAUUUGAAAUUACGGUUCAUGAAUAUCGUCUGCCUUCCAGCUAUGCGCUGCGAAAAGAAAUUGCCAGUGGAUGAGAUGGCAGAAUCAGUGGAACGUGUGUGACCUUCACCACGUUUUUGAAUGAUGGCCCAUCAGAAGAUAUAAAGAGUAAAGGACUACUGGGCAAGCACAAGUGGGCAGAGGAGCAGAGGGAAAGAGAAUCCCAGUAGACUUCGCGCUGAGUGCAGAGCCCGAUGUGGGGCUCGAUCCCACAACCCUGAGAUCAUGACUUGAGCCGAAAUCCAGAGUCCAGUGCUUAACCAACUGACCACCCCGGCAUCCCUCAACUUCUACAUUAGUUUCUAAACUAAAUGAGAAGAGA
Molecule: long non-coding RNA, 567 nt
Organism: Ailuropoda melanoleuca (giant panda)
Lineage: Eukaryota; Metazoa; Chordata; Mammalia; Carnivora; Ursidae
Exons: 4
Source: RefSeq, a predicted model, not a curated record